RNAcentral lists this ribosomal RNA (492 nucleotides) under uncultured bacterium. RNAcentral describes it as "partial 16S ribosomal RNA". It matches the Rfam family "Bacterial small subunit ribosomal RNA", at positions 29 to 507 of the family's 1533-position model. The record is from RNAcentral.
AGUGAACGCUGGCGGUAGGCCUAACACAUGCAAGUCGAACGGCAGCACAGUAAGAGCUUGCUCUUACGGGUGGCGAGUGGCGGACGGGUGAGGAAUACAUCGGAAUCUACUUUUUCGUGGGGGAUAACGUAGGGAAACUUACGCUAAUACCGCAUACGACCUACGGGUGAAAGCAGGGGAUCUUCGGACCUUGCGCGAUUGAAUGAGCCGAUGUCGGAUUAGCUAGUUGGCGGGGUAAAGGCCCACCAAGGCGACGAUCCGUAGCUGGUCUGAGAGGAUGAUCAGCCACACUGGAACUGAGACACGGUCCAGACUCCUACAGGAGGCAGCAGUGGGGAAUAUUGGACAAUGGGCGCAAGCCUGAUCCAGCCAUACCGCGUGGGUGAAGAAGGCCUUCGGGUUGUAAAGCCCUUUUGUUGGGAAAGAAAAGCAGCAGGCUAAUACCCCGCUGUUCUGACGGUACCCAAAGAAUAAGCACCGGCUAACUUCGUG